This 450-nucleotide ribosomal RNA is filed under the name Triticum aestivum (bread wheat). Its description in RNAcentral is "partial small subunit ribosomal RNA". Lineage: Eukaryota; Viridiplantae; Streptophyta; Magnoliopsida; Poales; Poaceae. The record is from RNAcentral.
AUGUCCGGUUCCGACCUUCGAGGCCGAUGGAUGCCCUCAUCCGUCAUGGAGGAGGACGUGCUGAAGUUGAGAGAGGCCAGGUUCUUGACCGGCGAAAUCUCGCAUAGGCUGCCUGCUCAAGGGCAGGUCAUUCCCACUCCCAAGCCCGGUGAGAGUGUGGUGUUCAUGGCUCACUUCCUUCAGAGGCUAGGCUUCCCGACGGAUCCCUUCGUGAGGGGGCUCAUGUAUUAUUAUGGGCUGGAAUUUCAUGACUUAGCCCCGGAGUCCAUCCUCCAUAUUUCCUCAUUCAUCAUCAUGUGUGAAGCCUUCCUCCGUAUCACUCCUCAUUUCGGACUAUGGCUCAAGACCUUCAAAGUAGAGCCGAAGAUGAUCGAGGGACGGCAAGCGGAGUGCGGAGGUGUUUUUAUAAGCAAGAAUGCUGGUACUCCAUGGCCCAAGGGCUCUUUUUAA